AUUUUGUCUUGUAACUGCUUUUUUCAUUUUGUCAUCUGUCACCCUUUGCCUGGCAGGAUCUGACUUUGAUUUCCCUUCCUUACAAGCUACAGUUGAAAAUGAUAUGGUGGUUUCAUGGGGGACAAAAAGGGUACUUACUGAAGAAGAACCUCCAUUGAACUCAUCACUUAUCUUGGCUGCUAAGAGAACAUAUAGAAAAGAUCCUUUUAACAAUUUCAAAAGAUACACUGGAGGAUGGAAUAUCAG
Molecule: unclassified non-coding RNA, 246 nt
Filed under: Hevea brasiliensis (rubber tree)
Lineage: Eukaryota; Viridiplantae; Streptophyta; Magnoliopsida; Malpighiales; Euphorbiaceae
Source: RNAcentral